GUGGUACCCGCGGGUGGAGGGCUCUGGAAUCCCUGAGCAGUUUCCUGGGAUCCCUUCCACGGCUGUGGCUGGAGCAGCUGGAAUGACCUUGCUGUAAACUUUGGCUCCUCUGCAGCCUGGAGGAGUGUGAAGGUCACCCUGGAGGUGUGCAAAGAGAAGGAGAAAAAAAUAUCCCCGAGCUGAUGGGGCAGCAAGGGAAAACUGAUUUUUAGUGAGGAUCUUCAUGGAGGAGGAGGGUUUGCUCCUUUGGGUGGUUUUUAGGGUGAAGGAAAUGGCGGAGAGGCUCAGAGUGAUGCCACAACCAGAGGCACAAAGAAGUCGUGGAUUCCUCAUCCCUGGAAUUGUCCAAGCCAAGGCUCCGGAGGCAGAGAAGCUGCUGGGAAUCACCUCCUCCCCGAUAGGGAGCCACGCUCUAAUUAAGAAGAAACCUCCACAAGCCCCUUACAAAGUCUGAGUGGCAGCUGAUUAUUGUAGCAAAGUGCAACCUCUGCCAUUUUGUCAAGCAAGCCCAUCAAAUUAGGGCGAAAUAAGAUGUCCAUCUGUUUCCUGAAUGGCAGCGCCGCCAAAAAAUCAGAUUCCCACCAGUUCCUUAAGUCCCAAUUAUUCCCAGAUUAUCUUUUGAGAUGGGGAGAUCGGCGCUGAAUAAACCUCGUGGCCUCGUUACUGACAGCCUGGUGCAUCCCUAAGGAGGGCAGGG
Molecule: long non-coding RNA, 697 nt
Organism: Passer domesticus (house sparrow)
Lineage: Eukaryota; Metazoa; Chordata; Aves; Passeriformes; Passeridae
Exons: 2
Source: RefSeq, a predicted model, not a curated record